Long non-coding RNA from Brassica rapa (field mustard), 2386 nucleotides. RefSeq lists it as uncharacterized. The record is from RefSeq and is a predicted model, not a curated record. NCBI's taxonomy places the organism in Eukaryota, Viridiplantae, Streptophyta, Magnoliopsida, Brassicales, Brassicaceae.
UCUGAGCUUCAUCUUCAUCGCCGAAACGCUUCCAGUUACAAAAUCUUUGCAUUAGACCCCUUCUUAAAUCCACAACCAUAGUGUAGGCUUCAAUGCAAAUUUUCUGUGUGACGGUGUAUCUGCGAUCAGUGGCGGACCCAGCCCCAUUUUUUAGGGGUGUCAAAUGUUUGGGCUUCAGCCCAGUAUAAACAUUUUUAUACUAAAAUAAGUAAAAAAAGAUAACACAAGGGGUUUGAACUCAGGAAAGGGGGGUCAAGAAAGGGAGUAUUUCACCAACUGAGCUACGAUUUCUUCUUGUCCAAUGACUAAAACUCUUUAAUAGUUAUAUUUAACCUGUUGCACGUGCAACCCCUUCCUAACACGUGGGUCCGCCUCUGUGUGCGAUUAUAAAAAGAUUAGCCUUUCUCCUCUGAAACCCAUCCUCUUAGUCCGUCAAAAAAAAAAAAAAAAACGCAGUAAACUUAUAUUCUGAAAACGAAGUCAUCCAUCUUUCUCUCUGAUUCGAAGAUCGCACGCUGCUCCUCCACUGAUUGAGAUGCUGAAGUCGAUGACAAAGAGUGGAACUUGAAUUGAGAUUUGUCGAUUUUCUCAAAUAAUUGCAAAGAAUCACCUUCAGGAAGCGAUCAGACUACUCCGUCUCCUCCAUGGUAUCCUCGCCGGUUCAUCCUACGGAUUGUCUGUGAGCACGAGUACUCGAUUUUGAAGACAUAAAAGGUUCUUCUAUGAAUUUCCCAUAUUUCUUAAGGUCAGUUUUGGAUUAUUUGAGAAAAUUUCACUUUUUUUGGAACCCGUUGAAGAACACACUGGUUGGAGCUGAGGCUAACCACAACUUGAAUAGCCAAAGUGAACUCCAUAACCGUGGGAUGCUGGGAGCUCAACACGCUCUUGACCCAUUGACCACAGUGAAGGCAUGCGUGAACAAUGCAGGUAUAGCACUGAUCCAACACGGGUGGCAUCCAAAGUCGUUCAUCACCAUCUCUAGAGAGAUUAACUCUAGGGCGAUUGAGAAGAGUUCUAAGAUCACUGGUUCUUGGUGGUCUCUCUGAGAAAUAUCAUGGCUUAUAAAACUUCUGGGUGGUUGAUGGAAUCAACAUAUCGAUGUGGAGACAUUGCGGAUAUUGAUGGUUUGAAGAUGGAUUAAUGUGAGCCUUGAUAUGGAGCUUUUUGGAUCAAACUCUUCUGAUGAGCAGCUUACCGGAGUUAGGAUUCUUAGACAGUUUGCAGUCAAUCAAUGGUACUCGGAUGAGACACUUGAGAAGAUCAUAAUCAACGUCCCUGUUGUUGAAAGGUUGGUGGAGAUGCUGAAGUGAAAAUAUCUGCAAAAGGAAGAGACUAGGAGAUCAGCUGCUGAUAUACUAUCAAAACUCGCUAGCAAACAGCAGAACUCUUUAAGAGUCGCUGGGAUAUCUGGUGCAAUGGAAUCUAUUUUUUCGUUAUAGAGAGCACGAGAUCAUCAGGUGAAGCGCCUGAUGAGAUUGGAGAGAAAAGUGUUCCGUGACUCUAAUCUACACUAUGACUUCUGUAGAUUCAACAGUUUGGGACUCUUGAUCCUGAAGAAGCUAGCGAAAGAUCAUGAUUCAACAGUUUGGGACUCUUGAUCCUGAAGAAGCUAGCAAAAGAUCAUGAUAACUGUGGAAACCUCGGCAACACAAGGGGUUUUCUCCCGAGGAUUAUUGAUUUCACGCACGUGGACCAAGUUCUAUUGUGGGAUGAGAAUGCAGACGUUACCAGGUCACAUGUCCUUGAAACGGUCGUGCAGCUGGUGAAAAUGUUAGUCAGCACGACCGAGAACACAUGGAAGUGUCUUAGGAAGGAGAUCUCAGAGAUUGUUUUUAUGGUGAGCAACAGGAGGGAUGUGCUGAGACACGGAAGCUCGAGAGAGAAUUGGUGGAACGGUGGUGUUUUGAAAGAGCUGUUCAACAUUUUCUUUAAAACAUGUGGAGACGAUGGGAAUCAGGGAUGCGUGAGGAUCACUGCAGGAAGACUCGUGGAAGCACUUGAAGUUCCAUCGAUCCGUGUCAAUGUUGCAAGUUUAUAAUAAAGUGGCUAUUCUCAGAUGUUCCAGAUAAAAGAUGGUCAUAUCAGUAAGAAGAAGAAAAAGAAAAAGACAACUGACAAAUGUUUUACAAACUACAUAUGUAGCUUCGUGUAAAUGUAAUUGAAGGUUAAUAUCAUCAUCUAAGUGCUAAUCCUUUAUCAACCAUAGUUGAGAAAUAAGUAUAAGUUCCUUGAUGGCAGUACCAACAAGCUUGACUUGCAAGUAAUUGAAUUUUGUUUUAUUUCACUGAACCCAGACUUACGAAAGAAAAAUAAAAACGGCGAAUAUCAGGAAUUUUAUGAAAACUAAAAUAAUCCAUAAGAUAUCAAAAAUAUAACAACAAAAUUA